UACGUAGGACCCAAGCGUUAUCCGGAGUGACUGGGCGUAAAGAGUUGCGUAGGUGGUUUGUUAAGUGAAUAGUGAAAUCUGGCGGCUCAACCGUACAGGCUAUUAUUCAAACUGGCAAACUCGAGAAUGGUAGAGGUAACUGGAAUUUCUUGUGUAGGAGUGAAAUCCGUAGAUAUAAGAAGGAACACCAAUGGCGUAGGCAGGUUACUGGACCAUUUCUGACACUGAGGCACGAAAGCGUGGGGAGCGAACCGG
RNAcentral lists this ribosomal RNA (255 nucleotides) under uncultured bacterium. RNAcentral describes it as "partial 16S ribosomal RNA". It matches the Rfam family "Bacterial small subunit ribosomal RNA", at positions 524 to 776 of the family's 1533-position model. The record is from RNAcentral.